Molecule: long non-coding RNA, 421 nt
Filed under: Helianthus annuus (common sunflower)
Lineage: Eukaryota; Viridiplantae; Streptophyta; Magnoliopsida; Asterales; Asteraceae
Source: RNAcentral
AUGAUGUUAUGGCUUUGCACAAAACUCCAAAGCAAAGAAACCCUACCUCUCUUUUUGAACUAUGACGGCAGACGAUACCUCCUCUCUUCAUCGAAGUUGCACCUCCUCAAUUCUGGAUUUGGUUGAUCAAAUUGUGUUAAACAAGUAACUAAUCCUACCGAGCAAACCGAAGGGCGUUAGGCAUCUUGGUAUUGGGAAGCUUGCUAUCUGGGAGUGCUGGAGUGGUCAUGGAUCGAGGCUCUUGGAUUAAAUUACAUUUGCUACAUUGGUUUUAAGCGUUACUAUGAAACAAUUGCUAAACAACUUAUUACAUGCUUCCGCUACACAACUUUUGAGAAUUAAUAGUAUGUUGAUAACUUAUUCUGGUAAAAUAAUGUCAUGACUUAUUUAGAUAUUUAUCAUUGGUUCAAUGUGAUUGGUG